CAGCAGCCACGGUAAUACAGAGGGUGCGAGCGUUAAUCGGAUUUACUGGGCGUAAAGCGUGCGUAGGCGGAUUUUUAAGUCGGAUGUGAAAUCCCUGAGCUUAACUUAGGAAUUGCAUUCGAUACUGGGAAGCUAGAGUAUGGGAGAGGAUGGUAGAAUUCCAGGUGUAGCGGUGAAAUGCGUAGAGAUCUGGAGGAAUACCGAUGGCGAAGGCAGCCAUCUGGCCUAAUACUGACGCUGAGGUACGAAAGCAUGGGGAGCAAACAGGAUUAGAUACCCCCGUAGUCCCUGUCUCUUAUAC
This 301-nucleotide ribosomal RNA is filed under the name uncultured bacterium. RNAcentral describes it as "partial 16S ribosomal RNA". It matches the Rfam family "Bacterial small subunit ribosomal RNA", at positions 509 to 807 of the family's 1533-position model. The record is from RNAcentral.